GUGGAGCCAACCUUGAAAUACCACCCUUUAAUGUUUGAUGUUCUAACGUUGCCCCAUUAUCUGGGGUGCGGACAGUGUCUGGUGGGUAGUUUGACUGGGGCGGUCUCCUCCCAAAGAGUAACGGAGGAGCACGAAGGUUGGCUAAGCAUGGUCGGACAUCAUGCGGUUAGUGCAAAGGCAUAAGCCAGCUUGACUGCGAGAGUGACGGCUCGAGCAGGUACGAAAGUAGGUCUUAGUGAUCCGGUGGUUCUGAAUGGAAGGGCCAUCGCUCAACGGAUAAAAGGUACUCCGGGGAUAACAGGCUGAUACCGCCCAAGAGUUCAUAUCGACGGCGGUGUUUGGCACCUCGAUGUCGGCUCAUCACAUCCUGGGGCUGAAGUAGGUCCCAAGGGUACGGCUGUUCGCCGUUUAAAGUGGUACGCGAGCUGGGUUUAGAACGUCGUGAGACAGUUCGGUCCCUAUCUGCCGUGGGCGUUGGAAGAUUGAAAGGGGCUGCUCCUAGUACGAGAGGACCGGAGUGGACGCACCACUGGUGUUCGGGUUGUCAUGCCAAUGGCAUUGCCCGGUAGCUAAGUGCGGAAAAGAUAACCGCUGAAAGCAUCUAAGCGGGAAACUUGCCUUGAGAUGAGUCUUCCCUGACUCUUUAAGGGUCCUAAAGGAACGUUUAAGACUAAGACGUUGAUAGGUUGGGUGUGUAAGCGUAGCGAUACGUUGAGCUAACCAAUACUAAUGAACCGUGAGGCUUAACCUG
RNAcentral lists this ribosomal RNA (751 nucleotides) under Providencia alcalifaciens. Its description in RNAcentral is "partial 23S ribosomal RNA". It matches the Rfam family "Bacterial large subunit ribosomal RNA", at positions 2180 to 2925 of the family's 2925-position model. Lineage: Bacteria; Pseudomonadati; Pseudomonadota; Gammaproteobacteria; Enterobacterales; Morganellaceae. The record is from RNAcentral.